This 253-nucleotide ribosomal RNA is filed under the name uncultured bacterium. RNAcentral describes it as "partial 16S ribosomal RNA". It matches the Rfam family "Bacterial small subunit ribosomal RNA", at positions 524 to 776 of the family's 1533-position model. The record is from RNAcentral.
UACGGAGGGUGCAAGCGUUGUUCGGAAUCACUGGGCGUAAAGGGUGCGUAGGCGGUCCUAUAAGUCAGUGGUGAAAUACGGCAGCUCAACUGUCGAGGUGCCAUUGAUACUGCAGGACUAGAGUACUGAUGAGGUAGGCGGAAUGGACGGUGUAGCGGUGAAAUGCUUAGAUAUCGUCCAGAACACCGAUAGCGAAGGCAGCUUACUAAAGAGUAACUGACGCUGAGGCACGAAAGUGUGGGGAUCAAACAGG